This 393-nucleotide ribosomal RNA is filed under the name uncultured eukaryote. RNAcentral describes it as "SSU rRNA". It matches the Rfam family "Eukaryotic small subunit ribosomal RNA", at positions 587 to 972 of the family's 1831-position model. The record is from RNAcentral.
AGCUCCAAUAGCGUAUAUUAAAGUUGUUGCAGUUAAAAAGCUCGUAGUUGGAUUUCAGGCUCAGCGCACCUGGCCCGCUCCCUUGAGGAGCCGAGUGCCGGACGUGCGUUGGCCUUCCUUCUGGCAAGGAUCUCCUACCUCUUAACUGGGGCCGGGAGUGACUUCUGGAUCAUUUACUUUGAAGAAAUUAGAGUGUUCAAAGCAAGCUUACGCUGUGAAUAUAUUAGCAUGGAAUAAUAACAUAGGACUUGGGUUCUAUUUUGUUGGUUUCUAGAACUAUAAGUAAUGAUUGAUAGGGACAGUUGGGGGUGCUGCUAUUAUAUGGCCAGAGGUGAAAUUCAUAGAUUCAUAUAAGAGCAACUUAUGCGAAAGCAUUCACCAAGGAUGUCUUCU